AAGAUUCUUCCAAGCCUUGAUUCAGCUGCGCCUUUGAUUUUCUUAUGAACUCUGAAUUCAGUGAAUUCAAAUAAACGCGGACUUUAGGAAGCUUUGAGUUGGAGCCAAACAUAGGUUAGCAUAUUUAAAGACUUUUGCAGAUACAUUAAUUCAUCCCAAAGUGUAGAUGUAUAAACUUUCAAGAGACCUAAAUGGUCCUCUCUCAUCCAGUUAUGGGCCAGAGGACCCAAGGAAUCCUUGAAACUCAGUCUCUCAGGUCUAUGUAGAUUGGCUCCCAAACCACCCAGCGUUGAAUAUCUUCAAAGGAGCCACCGCCGUACCAGUCUCCCCUCAGUGAUGCUCCAGCCACACUGGCCUCCUGAGUGUUCCUCAAAUCUGCCCAGCAGGUUAUGGUCUCGGGAUCUUCUCUGCCUGGAAUCCACUCUCUGCAUAUAACUGCAUGGCUCUCUACUCUUAUUUUCUGCGUGUCUCCUCUCAAAGGUCACCUAAACAAAGAGAAUGUCUUCACCCUUCUCUUCACCGCAUGGCUACAACCUCAGUUCAGCCUCCGUGAGGUCAACUGUCCACAUAUGCCAACUGUUGGUCAGAAGCUUCAGGGGUUUGCUCAGUUGAUAAGCUACAGAUUGACCAAAAUUGAUGUUCUCUCCUUAGGAUCUAUGGACUUAUCCGUGAGGGGCAAGAGAGUGUGACAACCUGAGCAUGCCUCAGGGGACUCGGU
Molecule: long non-coding RNA, 718 nt
Filed under: Equus caballus (horse)
Lineage: Eukaryota; Metazoa; Chordata; Mammalia; Perissodactyla; Equidae
Description: lncRNA (ENSECAG00000035805.3)
Source: RNAcentral